AUUUUUAGGAAUGUUGUCAAAUUUGGGAAAGCAUCUAUCAAUUUUCCCAUAUGACCUCUUAAAAUUUCAGAGCAUUUCACAUUUUUAUAUGCAGUUGCUAAUCUUAAAUGCUCUUUGAAUUGACAGGACUCGUGAGCCACUUUUUCCAUGAACCUCCUCAUUCUAAGGACGAAACGUUAUAUUUCCAAGAUUCUUCCAUGUUGUUUUGUGUUGCUGGUAGAACUGCUUACUAUGAUUAGAAACACUUAGAAACUCCAGGAAAAACUAAAAUGAAUCCAAGGAAGAAAACACAAUCCUCACAAUCACGAGCUCUGCCUGAAUGAGAUUCCCAGUAGGGCCAGCACCCCUUCUUCCAGCUCUGCUCCCUCCUGGUGUAGAACACACAUGAGAUUAUCCCAGCCUACUUACUGCCAGAGGCAAAGGAAUUUGUCCACGACUCCUUAUCUGUCGUUAGGUCAUGGGUCAGCCUCCAGACCAGAGUGCUCCUGACAGUGGCUGAUUGACUGUUCUAAGGAUGGCAUCUGUCCCUUCAGGGCCAGAGAAUGUUUGGACUUGGGACUGAGAGGUCUCUGCUCUGGCAGCUGAAGACGUAAGAUGGAUAGCCCGGGGUGGAAGUCCCAUGCUUCUCACUGUGUGGAGCAGAGGAGAGGCGGAAGGUGGUCUGCAGAGGAAGAGCAGAACACUCAAGGAGAAGUGGGACCCGAGUCAGGGUGCUA
This 716-nucleotide long non-coding RNA is filed under the name Equus caballus (horse). RNAcentral's name for it is "lncRNA (ENSECAG00000058159.1)". The record is from RNAcentral. Lineage: Eukaryota; Metazoa; Chordata; Mammalia; Perissodactyla; Equidae.